CCCACUUUACAGCAACGCCUUCAGUUCUGGACAACAUUACGUCUCAUCAGUGCUUCCAACAAUCUGCCAUGGCUAUGUAUCGGGGAUUUCAACGACAUACUCUAUCAUUGGGAAAAAGUUGGUAAGCAUUUGGCUAAUUCACAACGGAUGCAAUAUUUUAGGGAUGUCUUGCAUGAUUGUUCCCUCAUGGACAUUGAAAGUAAGAGAUGUUCUUUUACCUGGAUGAAUCAUAGGGCGGGUGCUGAUUUUGUUAAGGAAAGAUUAGAUAGGGCUGUCUGCACUUUGGACUGGCGUCUUGCCUAUCUCAAGGCUGAAGUUUUUGCUUUACCUGCUGUGGGAUCAGACCAUAGUCCCUUACUCUUGAUCACGGCUGGAGUACAGCAUCGUCGGACACGGCCUUUUGUCUUCGAAGCCUUCUGGAU
RNAcentral lists this long non-coding RNA (422 nucleotides) under Eucalyptus grandis. RNAcentral describes it as "long non-coding RNA (EGRA_LNC001040)". The record is from RNAcentral. Lineage: Eukaryota; Viridiplantae; Streptophyta; Magnoliopsida; Myrtales; Myrtaceae.